UUACAAAUUAAUAUUUAUCUUGUUUCUCAUCAAUGGCUUCCCGUAGCUUAGCUUGUUUCAUCCUCUUCUCAAUCACCUUCACUGCAUUGUUUGUCCCUUAUGAAUGCUUUGAGAAUUGGAGUGGAGGAAGAGAAAAUAUGGUGGCGGGCGAGAAGAUCAACCUAGGAUGCUACAAGACGAGUUGCCAGAAUCAAGGGGUGUGCUGGUGUUGUCCCAGUCGUCUUCCAAUCAGAUGCUGGGCUACUCGAAUAGCUUGUGACAAAGACUGUCAAACAUAGCACACACAUUCACAAUUAUAGCAUUCUCCCAUCAAUAAUAAGUCUCUUCUUCAAAUUCUCUCACAUCACUUAUCCUUUUUAAUUAUAUGUAAACCCUAAUUACAUAAUUAUAUUAAUAUUUUAAUGAAUGGAGAAAUUAGAAUGUA
Long non-coding RNA from Sesamum indicum (sesame), 424 nucleotides. RefSeq lists it as uncharacterized. The record is from RefSeq and is a predicted model, not a curated record. Lineage: Eukaryota; Viridiplantae; Streptophyta; Magnoliopsida; Lamiales; Pedaliaceae.